CUGACCAGCUGUGUUUGUGUUUUGAUUCUCUCGCCUUUAACGGGUGCGUAAGCGUGUUCGCUGGCCAGGCUUCAAAGUUUUAACGAUUUCAACAGAAAACAAGAGCGUAAGAUCAUCUUUAAAUGAUGGACGUCCCACCAACGAUGCAAGCAGCGAACUAUUACGAGAGUAAGAGAGCAGCGAAAGAGCUGAGGAAGCUAGAAAAAAAGGAGAGGAAGAAGGACAAGACGAAAUGCUGGACCUUAAAGGAGAAAAUUGACUUGCAGGUUGACGUCGCACGAAUGUCUGUGCAUGAUGAACAGUUGGCCGAACUUCGCCGGAUUAUGUCCUCAGACAGAAGGUGUCCUGUCAAGGCUGACUGUAUCGACAUAAUUGACCUAAGCGACUUGACGCUCAACCGGCUGCGACAUUAUGUCGAAUCCCA
Molecule: long non-coding RNA, 424 nt
Organism: Cloeon dipterum
Lineage: Eukaryota; Metazoa; Arthropoda; Insecta; Ephemeroptera; Baetidae
Exons: 3
Source: RefSeq, a predicted model, not a curated record